Molecule: ribosomal RNA, 1779 nt
Filed under: uncultured eukaryote
Lineage: Eukaryota
Description: SSU rRNA
Rfam family: Eukaryotic small subunit ribosomal RNA
Source: RNAcentral
UACCUGGUUGAUCCUGCCAGUAGUCAUAUGCUUGUCUCAAAGAUUAAGCCAUGCAUGUCUCAGUAUAAGCUUCUAUACGGCGAAACUGCGAAUGGCUCAUUAAAACAGUUAUAGUUUAUUUGGUGGUCAGCAAUUACAUGGAUAACCGUGGUAAUUCUAGAGCUAAUACGUGCGCCCAAACCCGACUUCGUGGAAGGGUUGUGUUUAUUAGAUACAGAACCAACCCAGGCUCCGCCUGGCCUUGAGGUGAUUCAUAAUAACCGAACGAAUCGCAUGGCUAUGCCGGCGAUAGACCAUUCAAGUUUCUGCCCCAUCAGCUUUCGAUGGUAGUGUAUUGGACUACCAUGGCGUUUACGGGUAACGGAGGAUUAGGGUUCGAUUCCGGAGAGGGAGCCUGAGAAACGGCUACCACAUCUAAGGAAGGCAGCAGGCGCGUAAAUUACCCAAUCCUGACUCAGGGAGGUAGUGACAAGAAAUAACGGACCGGUUCCUUCGGAUUCGGGAUUGCAAUGAGCCGAAUUUACACCCCUUAGCGAGGAUCGAUUGGAGGGCAAGUCUGGUGCCAGCAGCCGCGGUAAUUCCAGCUCCAAUAGCGUAUAUUAAAGUUGUUGCAGUUAAAAAGCUCGUAGUUGGAUUUCUGGGAGGGUGCCAAUGUCCGUCGUCGUACGUGUUGCAGCGGCGCCCUUCCAUCCUUCUGUUAACGACUUUGGGCAUUCAUUUGCCGGAGUCGGGCUCAGAUAUUUUACCUUGAGAAAAUUAGAGUGUUUCAGGCAGGCUAGGCCGGAAUACAUUAGCAUGGAAUAAUGGAAUAGGACUACGGUCUCUUUGUUGGUUUGAGGGACUGCAGUAAUGAUUAAUAGGGAUAGUUGGGGGCAUUAGUAUUUAAUUGUCAGAGGUGGAAUUCUCGGAUUUGUUAAAGACUAACUUAUGCGAAAGCAUUUGCCAAGGAUGUUUUCAUUAAUCAAGAACGAAAGUUAGGGGAUCAAAGACGAUCAGAUACCGUCCUAGUCUAACCAUAAACUAUGCCGACUAGAGAUUGUAGGUCGUUAUCUUACGACUCCUUCAGCACCUUAUGAGAAAUCAAAGUCUUGGGCUCCGGGGGGAGUAUGGUCGCAAGGCUGAAACUUAAAGGAAUUGACGGAAGGGCACCACCAGGAGUGGAGCCUGCGGCUUAAUUUGACUCAACACGGGGAAACUUACCAGGUCCAGACAUAGUGAGGAUUGACAGAUUGAUAGCUCUUUCUUGAUUCUGUGGGUGGUGGUGCAUGGCCGUUCUUAGUUGGUGGAGUGAUUUGUCUGGUUAAUUCCGUUAACGAACGAGACCUUAGCCUGCUAACUAGUCGCUGGGAUCUCCUAUCCCAGUCGGCUUCUUAGAGGGACUUUGUGAUCUAAACACAAGGAAGUUUGAGGCAAUAACAGGUCUGUGAUGCCCUUAGAUGUCCUGGGCCGCACGCGUGCUACACUGACACUUACAGCGAGUACUUCCCAGCCCCGAGAGGCGGCUGGUAAUCAGCAAUAAGUGUCGUGAUGGGGAUAGUCCUUUGGAAUUAUUGGACUUGAACGAGGAAUGCCUAGUAAGCGCAGGUCAUUAGCCUGCGUUGAUUAAGUCCCUGCCCUUUGUACACACCGCCCGUCGCUCCUACCGAUUUCGAGUGGUCCGGUGAAUAAUUCGGACUGUGCUUGGUCUUGUGCCAUGUCGCGGAAAGUCAGGUAAACCUUAUCACUUAGAGGAAGGAGAAGUCGUAACAAGGUUUCCGUAGGUGAACCUGCAGAAGGAUC